RNAcentral lists this ribosomal RNA (253 nucleotides) under uncultured bacterium. RNAcentral describes it as "partial 16S ribosomal RNA". It matches the Rfam family "Bacterial small subunit ribosomal RNA", at positions 524 to 776 of the family's 1533-position model. The record is from RNAcentral.
UACAGAGGUCCCGAGCGUUGUUCGGAUUCACUGGGCGUAAAGGGUGCGUAGGUGGCGUGGUAAGUUUGAUGUGAAAGCUCAGGGCUUAACCCUGAAAUGGCAUUGAAUACUACUGUGCUGGAGGUUUGGAGGGGGGACUGGAAUUCUUGGUGUAGCAGUGAAAUGCGUAGAUAUCAAGAGGAACACCAGUGGCGAAGGCGGUUGCCUGGGGCUGUGCUGACGCUGAUGCGCGAAAGCGUGGGGAGCGAUCCGG